ACUCCUACGGGAGGCAGCAGUGGGAAUAUUGGACAAUGGGGGCAACCCUGAUCCAGCAAUACCGCGUGUGUGAAGAAGGCCUGAGGGUUGUAAAGCACUUUCAGCGAGGAGGAAGUUAAUGUAGUUAAUAGCUAUGUUGAUUGACGUUACUCGCAGAAGAAGCACCGGCUAACUCUGUGCCAGCAGCCGCGGUAAUACAGAGGGUGCAAGCGUUAAUCGGAAUUACUGGGCGUAAAGCGUGCGUAGGCGGAUAUUUAAGUCAGAUGUGAAAGCCCCGGGCUCAACCUGGGAACUGCAUUUCGAACUGGCAAACUAGAGUGUGAUAGAGGGUGGUAGAAUUUCAGGUGUAGCGGUGAAAUGCGUAGAGAUCUGAAGGAAUACCGAUGGCGAAGGCAGCCACCUGGGUCAACACUGACGCUCAUGUACGAAAGCGUGGGGAGCAAAACGGGAUUAGAUACCAUGGUAGGCUCUGCU
Molecule: ribosomal RNA, 474 nt
Filed under: uncultured bacterium
Lineage: Bacteria
Description: bacterial SSU rRNA
Rfam family: Bacterial small subunit ribosomal RNA
Source: RNAcentral